GACGAGCCUCACAAACGUUAUUCGGAAUUACUGGGCUUAAAGGGUGCGUAGGCGGUGCGGAAAGUUGGGUGUGAAAUCCCUCGGCUCAACCGAGGAAUUGCGCUCAAAACUACCGUGCUCGAGGGAGAUAGAGGAAUGCGGAACUUAGGGUGGAGCGGUGAAAUGCGUUGAUAUCCUAGGGAACACCGGUGGCGAAAGCGGCAUUCUGGAUCUCAUCUGACGCUGAUGCACGAAAGCUAGGGUAGCAAACGGG
This 253-nucleotide ribosomal RNA is filed under the name uncultured bacterium. RNAcentral describes it as "partial 16S ribosomal RNA". It matches the Rfam family "Bacterial small subunit ribosomal RNA", at positions 524 to 776 of the family's 1533-position model. The record is from RNAcentral.